RNAcentral lists this ribosomal RNA (254 nucleotides) under uncultured bacterium. Its description in RNAcentral is "partial 16S ribosomal RNA". It matches the Rfam family "Bacterial small subunit ribosomal RNA", at positions 524 to 776 of the family's 1533-position model. The record is from RNAcentral.
GACGAACCGUGCGAACGUUAUUCGGAAUCACUGGGCUUAAAGCGCGUGUAGGCGGGGCGGCACGUCGGUCGCUGAAAGCCCUCGGCUCAACCGGGGAACGGGCGCCGAUACGACCGCCCUGGAGGGACGUAGGGGGGCCUGGAACUUCCGGUGGAGCGGUGAAAUGCGUAGAUAUCGUUUGGAACGCCAAUGGUGAAAACAGGUCGCUGGGGAUGAGCUGACGCUGAGACACGAAAGCCAGGGGAGCAAACGGG